UCCUUCUUUCUCAUUCCUUCUACUCUGGAUACAUGGAUACGCAGAACAAGACUAAGAUUCCCGGCUUCUCUUUCAGCUGGAGGUAGCUCUGGUGACUACAUUCUGGCCAGUGAGCUGUCAGGGGAAGCGACGUGUGUGCAAUGCCCACUUGGGUCCCUAAAGCGGGGGGCGUGCCCUUCCCCCACCCCUUCCUCCACGCUGCAGCUUGGAAUUGUUAGGAAUGGUGGAAAAAGAACGCAAGCCUUGGUUUUCACUCUAGCCCUGGACUACCUACCUACAGCUGUAUAUCCCCUCACCUUCCCUUCCUCUCUUCUCUCCAACCCACUGGCCCCUUCCAAACAGCAGGCGGCAGGAGCAGGUGGCCAAGGGCCCAGAUGGCUCUCUUGUUCCCCCGUCCCUGUGAACCCGGUCCUGUCCUGAGGGUCCUGACCAGCUGGAGUCCCAGGUCCGAACUCUGCACAGGUGGGUGAUGGUGGCAGAAGAAGAGGGGGUAACAAGGGUGCUCUCUCCCCAAGGGCACCCCCAAACCACCAUGACCUCCGCCUCCCAGCCCUGCCUUCUGAGCUCCAGUGCCAGCCUCCUGUCCCCGCUCAGCCCUCGCAGGCAACAGAUGGUGCCUUGAAGACAAGCCCUGGGUCCGGGCCGGGCGCGGAUGUCAGCUGUGGCGGGGCUCCCCUUUCACCCUCCGGCAGGCGGCUGGGGCAGCCCCCGCUCUUCACCUGGCUCAGUCCGGCUUAGCAGAGCUAGCAGGGCUGAGGCCAAAGAAGCCACAUGCAGAGCGUUGGUGGCCCUUCGGGAGUGGAGGCCUGGCCUGCGGGAAGAGAGGUGGCCAAGGCCCCAGGUGGGUAGGAGAGCAGAGAGCAGCCAAAACGAGCCUCGCCCACAGCCGGGGAUGUGAGUGCGGGGCCUCCGCUGGGCUCAAGUCACGGGAAGCGCAGGAAGGGCACCCGUUUGCCUCUGGGCUGCUCCUGGCGAUGGUCGGGACACGCAGAAGGCCCCUCCCUGUGCUACCCCUUGGUUCCAGAUCCCCACCCGCCAAGCCAAGCUCCUUGAUCCGAGCCAGCCCUGGACAAGCGGCAAGGCUGGCAAUGACUUCACCUGACCACUCCCAGAUGGGUUACCGUCAGCGCGAUGUCCUGACAGUGUGAUGUCACGUCAGGAUUCUCGAAACACUUUCCAUCUGGAGUCAACACCAUCCUUGCAGCUGCUCUGAGGGCCGCACCCCACUGCCAGCCAAGGGAUGGGAUCAAGUGUCCUGGUGGAAGCCAAGCUUCGGGCAGGCUUAGGAAGAACAAAGUCAAGGCGGGAGCUGCUGAGGGAACAGGGAAGCCCUUGUGGGGCUCAAGUGCAGAAGCUCUGAGCCCGCAGGGGAGCAGGGAGAGGCCCAUAGAGGUCACAGCUGGGCCAAGAGCCCCGAGGCAGGGGCUCAAGGGGGAAAUCAGGGACCAAAGAAAGUUAUGUGAACAUAAAUGGAGCCUCUC
Molecule: long non-coding RNA, 1481 nt
Organism: Physeter macrocephalus (sperm whale)
Lineage: Eukaryota; Metazoa; Chordata; Mammalia; Artiodactyla; Physeteridae
Exons: 3
Source: RefSeq, a predicted model, not a curated record